Molecule: non-coding RNA, 29 nt
Filed under: Rattus norvegicus (Norway rat)
Lineage: Eukaryota; Metazoa; Chordata; Mammalia; Rodentia; Muridae
Source: RNAcentral
UCAGCGUCACGGCCGUAGAUGGGUAGAAU